RNAcentral lists this small nuclear RNA (335 nucleotides) under Jaculus jaculus (lesser Egyptian jerboa). Its description in RNAcentral is "7SK RNA (ENSJJAG00000002945.1)". The stretch from base 1 to 300 matches the Rfam family "7SK RNA". From Rfam's summary of the family: 7SK was discovered as an abundant small nuclear RNA in the mid-70s but a possible function has only recently been suggested. Two independent studies have found that 7SK RNA binds the CDK9/cyclin T complex (known as elongation factor P-TEFb). The record is from RNAcentral. Lineage: Eukaryota; Metazoa; Chordata; Mammalia; Rodentia; Dipodidae.
GGAUGUCACAGCGAUCUGGCUGUGGUGGUACCUGUCACCCUAUUGAUCACCAGGGUUGAUUCGGCGGAUCUGGCCAGCUAGGCAGGUGUCCCCUUCCUCCUCUGCCACUCCACGAGUGUCCCUUCCAAAGCUGCACACCUGAUCAAAGAGGAUCACCCUUCCCAAAUAAUGGUCUUCAGUCAAGGGUUUAUGACUGGCUGCACUCCCCUGCUGCUCCAAACACGCUCUCAAUUCGGGUCCAAACCACUCAUGGCUCAUUCCUCCAUUCAUCCCACAGCCUCUGACUCAGAGGAGGGCAGAAACUGACCCAGCCAGGAAGGUCACAAACAUCAUCU